GAAAGUUGAAAAGAACUUUGAAGAGAGAGUUCAAAAGGGCGUGAAACCGCUUAGAAUAAAACGGACGGAGCCGUCUGAGGCCCACCGGAAUCAGUCGACGCGACGCGUGAAAGCGAGUCCGACGCGAAUACGGAACGAAAGUCCGGUCGGCUCGUAGGAUAAGAGUAGCGCUCGUUCGACGCAUUUCCGGAGGGUAAGCGCCGCGACCGAUGCGAGGCUAACGAAGCCGUCGGAUUGAGGUCGAGCUCGUUCACGCGAGUCUCGUAACCAGUCCGUCGGUCGGAAUAGAAAUCGUUGGACCGUGAAUAAAGCAUCGAGAGAAAUAGAUUCGAACGUCGGCGAUUCGUACGCGCUCGCUUAAUACGACAGACGUGCGACCGAUCGAUCGUCACCUGCUCGCAGGUUUCGGUUAGUGUCCGGUUCGUAUCCGAAGUCGUUGGCGACGUAUUCGACGUUCGGGCGUCCGCGGCGUCCGAGUCGGUCGCCCGUCCGACCCGUCUUGAAACACGGACCAAGGAGUCUAACGUAAGCGCGAGCUAAUGGGUGGAAAACCCAUAAGCGCAAUAAAAGUAAAAGUCGUCUCGGACGACCGAGGUACGAUCCCGCAGGGCGAAAAAUCCUCGGGCGCAGUACCGUCCCGUCCCGACCGCUCGUCGGUAGGGCGGAGAUAGAGUGCAUACGUUGGGACCCGAAAGAUGGUGAACUAUGCCUGAGCAGAGCGAAGCCAGAGGAAACUCUGGUGGAGGUUCGUAGCGGUUCUGACGUGCAAAUCGAUCGUCAGACUUGGGUAUA
Molecule: ribosomal RNA, 792 nt
Filed under: Xiphinema tica
Lineage: Eukaryota; Metazoa; Nematoda; Enoplea; Dorylaimida; Longidoridae
Description: eukaryotic LSU rRNA
Rfam family: Eukaryotic large subunit ribosomal RNA
Source: RNAcentral